Molecule: long non-coding RNA, 2103 nt
Organism: Macaca fascicularis (crab-eating macaque)
Lineage: Eukaryota; Metazoa; Chordata; Mammalia; Primates; Cercopithecidae
Source: Ensembl
GUGUGUGUAUAUAAUCUCCUGUGACUUUAGGAUCUGCCCUCUGGGCCUGUAGCUCAUACUUCUGGGCCCAAUUCUUUGCCCUCAGAAUUCUUCUUACUUCUUUUUGAGCAGAAGCAGCUAUUUGAACCCAAGUAGUUUAAUCAGCCUGUUUCCUGCCCGAAUAAUUUGAGUCCAACAAACUUUUCCUUAAUAGUUCUUUCCUCGAUUUAUCUCUUUUUUCUUGCAUUUUAUUGUAAGCAGCAAGAGUAAACAUGGCUGCACCUUAAAUACUUUGCCUGAAAAUCUCCUCCAUUAGAUAACCAAGUUCAUCACUUACAAGUUCUACUUUCCACCCAACUGUAGGACAAAAUUAAGCCAAGUUUUUGCCACUGUAUGUCAAUGAUCACUUUCCUCCAUUUUCCAAUAACACAUUCCUCACUUUCCUCUCAACUCUCACCAAAAGAUCCUUUGUGUUUAUAUUUUUACCAAUGUUCUAUUCAGGACUAUUUAUGUAUUCUCUUAGAGGAUAGCAGCUUAGUCUACCAUACUCCUCACUCCUUAUGAGCCCUAAUUUAUUAUCCAUUUCUAAAGCCACUUCUACAUUUUUAGGAUUUGUUAUACAGAAGCAACCCACCUCUGGUAACAUAUUCUGUAUUACUUUCCCAGGGAUGCCAUAAAAAUUACCAGAGUUGGGUAGCUUAACAUGACAGAAUUUAAUCUCUUGUAGUUCUGAAGACCAGCAAUACAAAAUCAGGAUGUUAGCAAGGCUGAACUCUCUCCAGAGGCCCUAGGAGAUAAUCCGUUUCUUGCCUCUUCCAGAUUCUGGUGAUUGCAGAUGUUCCCUGGCUUGUGGCCCAUCAUUUCAAUUUCUUUUUUUAUGUACACGUAGCUGCCUCGUCUGUGUAUGUGUCUUCUCUGAAUGUUUUUCUAAAAACUUUCCAUCCCUGUUUCUUAUCACAAUACACGUAAAUGCAUUGAGGGCUGCAGCUAAUUCUUAUAAUUCUAUGUUGUCUCAGCAUCCUUUUUGAACGCAAGUUUAACUCUCUCAUAUUAGAAGCAGGGGUUGGUCAUCCUUGACACAGGUUUCCAGUUCUACACCACACUCCAAUGACUCAAGCCAGUGGCCAGAGAUAAGAUCUUAGAGGCAUCUCUCCAACCCAGCAGACUGGGCUCCUUGCUUUCCUGUUAAUUCAUUUAAGUUUACCGUUUAGGCAUUUGUCGGCAAACUUAAAGUGAACCACAACCCAUUCUCUUAUACAUACCACAAGUUGCCUGCCAAAAACUUCUCUGUCCUUGCCUGACUUCAUUCCUGCCUCGUGUGACCCAGGGACCAACGACUUCUCUACAGACAUAUUGUGUCCUCCUUACCCAGAAUCUGAAAGUAAAAUAUUUGAACUUCUUUCCUGUUGUGGUGCAUUGAAUUUGUGGCUUUCAUUUGAAGAACUAGGGGCUACCCCAGGCUGGGUUUUCCCCAAGAUAUCAGGAAGAAUACGAAGUCAGGAUCCAACUGUCAGAGCAAUGGUCAGACAGGAUAAGCUGAACACAGGUCAGACAUACACCACAGGAGUGUCUACCACUCUAGUGGUAUACAAGUUUGCCACCUGACAGAUCCCCGUUCGUGGUUUGGACAACUACCCAUUAAGCUGUGUGCCAGGUAAAGGAACUUUCCUGUGAUAUGUACACUAUAAACACCCAUGUCUAGUUCCCCUGUGUUUCCCCGUAGGGUAGGAUUGCUAGCUGCUCUGGUACUAGAACUGCCAUUGAGCUGAGGGCUUUCAAAACAAGGGCUCAUUGUGGCAAGGAAAAUAUUAUUCUUGAAAUAUCCUUAACUUAAUCACAUCUUUUGUGCAUAUAAGGUAAUAGUCAAAAUUUCUGGAGAUUAGAAUGUGGACAUAUAUUUUUCGUGGCCAUUAUUUGGUCUAAUACCAGGUUGUUUCACUCUGGACUAUUUAAAUGGGUUUUCAAUUGAAUGGACUAAUUUAUAAGAAUGACACGUUUUCCUGAUUAAUUGCCCUGUUUCAAAGGAAUAGUUCUUAUUCUUACAGAUUCUCUUGAGCUAUCGUCUCAACCAUGGAAACAACUAGUUUUUCACAAGGAAGAAAGAAAAAAAAAAACAAAAAAAAA